AGUGAACGCUGGCGGUAGGCCUAACACAUGCAAGUCGAACGGCAGCACAGUAAGAGCUUGCUCUUACGGGUGGCGAGUGGCGGACGGGUGAGGAAUACAUCGGAAUCUACUUUUUCGUGGGGGAUAACGUAGGGAAACUUACGCUAAUACCGCAUACGACCUACGGGUGAAGGCAGGGGAUCUUCGGACCUUGCGCGAUUGAAUGAGCCGAUGUCGGAUUAGCUAGUUGGCGGGGUAAAGGCCCACCAAGGCGACGAUCCGUAGCUGGUCUGAGAGGAUGAUCAGCCACACUGGAACUGAGACACGGUCCAGACUCCUACGGGAGGCAGCAGUGGGGAAUAUUGGACAAUGGGCGCAAGCCUGAUCCAGCCAUACCGCGUGGGUGGGGAAGGCCUUCGGGUUGUAAAGCCCUUUUGUUGGGAAAGAAAAGCAGCAGGUUAAUACCCCGCUGUUCUGACGGUACCCAAAGAAUAAGCACCGGCUAACUUCGUG
This 492-nucleotide ribosomal RNA is filed under the name uncultured bacterium. Its description in RNAcentral is "partial 16S ribosomal RNA". It matches the Rfam family "Bacterial small subunit ribosomal RNA", at positions 29 to 507 of the family's 1533-position model. The record is from RNAcentral.